Accipiter nisus (Eurasian sparrowhawk) is the source of this 92-nucleotide microRNA precursor. Ensembl annotates it as microRNA 16-1. Lineage: Eukaryota; Metazoa; Chordata; Aves; Accipitriformes; Accipitridae. The record is from Ensembl.
UGUCAUACUUUAGCAGCACGUAAAUAUUGGUGUUAAGACUGUAAAUAUCUCCAGUAUUAACUGUGCUGCUGAAGUAAGGCUAGCCACUUCUG